RNAcentral lists this ribosomal RNA (442 nucleotides) under Taurulus bubalis. Its description in RNAcentral is "partial small subunit ribosomal RNA". It matches the Rfam family "Bacterial small subunit ribosomal RNA", at positions 7 to 794 of the family's 1533-position model. The record is from RNAcentral. Lineage: Eukaryota; Metazoa; Chordata; Actinopteri; Perciformes; Cottidae.
CAAAGGCUUGGUCCUGACUUUAUUAUCAACUUUAGCCAAAUUUACACAUGCAAGUAUCCGCACCCCUGUGAGAAUGCCCCACAGUUCCCCGCCCGGGAACAAGGAGCUGGUAUCAGGCACAUCUCCCGAGCCCAUGACACCUUGCUUAGCCACACCCUCAAGGGAACUCAGCAGUGAUAGACAUUAAGCCAUAAGUGAAAACUUGACUUAGUUAAAGCUAAGAGGGCCGGUAAAACUCGUGCCAGCCACCGCGGUUAUACGAGAGGCCCAAGUUGACAAACACCGGCGUAAAGCGUGGUUAAGGGAAAACUCACACUAAAGCCAAACAUCUUCCAGGCUGUUAUACGCAACUGAAGAUAGGAAGUUCAACCACGAAAGUGGCUUUACCAGACCUGAAUCCACGAAAGCUAAGGAACAAACUGGGAUUAGAUACCCCACUAUG